UGGGGAAUAUUGCACAAUGGGCGCAAGCCUGAUGCAGCCAUGCCGCGUGUAUGAAGAAGGCCUUCGGGUUGUAAAGUACUUUACAGCGGGGAGGAAGGCGAUAAGGUUAAUAACCUUGCGAUUGACGUUACCCGCAGAAGAAGCACCGGCUAACUCCGUUGCCAGCAGCCGCGGUAAUACGGAGGGUGCAAGCGUUAAUCGGAAUUACUGGGCGUAAAGCGCACGCAGGCGGUCUGUCAAGUCGGAUGUGAAAUCCCCGGGCUCAACCUGGGAACUGCAUUCGAAACUGGCAGGCUGGAGUCUUGUAGAGGGGGGUAGAAUUCCAGGUGUAGCGGUGAAAUUGCGUAGAGAUCUGGAGGAAUACCGGUGGCGAAGGC
Molecule: ribosomal RNA, 377 nt
Filed under: uncultured Enterobacteriaceae bacterium
Lineage: Bacteria; Pseudomonadati; Pseudomonadota; Gammaproteobacteria; Enterobacterales; Enterobacteriaceae
Description: bacterial SSU rRNA
Rfam family: Bacterial small subunit ribosomal RNA
Source: RNAcentral